Long non-coding RNA from Hemicordylus capensis (graceful crag lizard), 1286 nucleotides. RefSeq lists it as uncharacterized. The record is from RefSeq and is a predicted model, not a curated record. Lineage: Eukaryota; Metazoa; Chordata; Lepidosauria; Squamata; Cordylidae. The transcript is spliced from 2 exons.
CGAGUAGGCCCCAAGCAAGGAAGGAAGGAAGGAAGGAGGAAGCAGGCAGCAGACCCUCUGCCCAGACCAGACCAUCCAGAACAGCUAUUGCUAGUGCCAACACCAGUAAUUUCCUUCUUCAUCUAAUCCAAUUGGUGGCAUACAGAAGGUGUGAGCAGACUUCAGCCUUAUGGUAUCUACAUUUGUUUUUUAUUAGAACUGCAUCAAGCCAGAUGUAAAAUUGUGAAUUGGGGGUGGAGCCAAUGGCCCAUGGUAUACCAGGAGCUAUGCACUGAAAUGAUCUGCAUAUGCAAGCACAAAUUGACAUGGAUUUGGUCACAAAAUUCUAAAAGUGGCCAGCACAGCUUCACGAAGUCAAAGGCAACCAUUUAAUAUUCCUAUUGUACAGGUGAGUACGCACCUUAAGUGGCACAGCAGGGAAAUGCUUGACUAACAAGCAGAAAGUUGCCGGUUCAAAUCCCCACUGGUACUAUAUCAGGCAGCAGCGAUAUAGGAAUAUGCUGAAAUGCACCAUCUCAUCCUGUGUGUGAGGAGGCCAUGGUAAACCUCUCCUGUAUUCUACCAAAGACAACCACAGGACUCUGUGGGCUCCAGGAGUCAAAAUCAACUCAGCACACUUUACCUUUACAAGUGAAGAAAGGGGAGGCUGGGAGAUAAAUGAUUAGCGGAAGAGGGCAGAGUUGGGGAUUUUUUUUAUUAUUAUUGUUUCAGCACUCUUAAGAAUAAGGUCCCUUUUUACAGCUGGCAAAUACUGAGAUUUCCCCCAAAGCUUUCUUUUUCAGCACCCUAAUUUAGCAGGGGGAGGGGACCUUCUGUUUGUUUGUUUUCUUUUUAUGUUCUUCCAAGCAGAAUCACGGACUGAGCUGGAGUUUCAGCUGAAGCAGGAUUCUGAGUGGAGGCAAGGGUCUCAGAAGGGAUUCAGGCUCAGAUUACUCUAAGGAAGAGCAAGCAUCAGGCAAAGGAGAUCAGGACCUUGGAAAGCUCUGAGCAGGAGAGGCUGAACUGAACACCAAAGACAUAGUUCCUGCAAAGAACUGGAAGCUACUGAAGAGUUAUGUAGGUUGCUGGCUAAUUAUAUUUAGCAGGGGGAGAGCAACUGGCCCUAUCCAACACCAGCACAGCUUCCCUCCAGUAGCAGUUGCUGGGGUCUACCGUGUGUUUCUUUUUAGAUUGUGAGCCCUCUGGGGACAGAGGACCAUCUUAUUUAUGUAUUAUUUAUUUUUCUAUGUAAACCACUUUGAGAAUUUUGUUGAAGAGCAGUAUAUAAAUAUUUGUCAUCGUUGUCA